CCUACGGGAGGCAGCAGUCGAGAAUCUUGCACAAUGGGGGAAACCCUGAUGCUGCAACGCCGCGUGAAGGAAGGCGGGUUUCGGAUUGGAAACUUCUUGUCUUAGUGAAGAAUAAUGACGGGAGAGAAGGAGCAAGCGACGGCAAACUACACGCUAGCCGACGAGGUAAUACGUAGGUGGCAAGCGUUGUCCGGACUUACUGGGUGUGACGGGAGCGCAGGCGGGAAGCCAAGUCAGCUGUGAAAACUACGGGCUUAACUUGCCGACUGCAGAUGAAACGGGUUGUCUUGAGUGAAGGAGAGGUUGGCGGAAUUCCGAGUGUAGCGGUGAAAUGCGUAGAUAUUCGGAGGAACACUGGUGGCGAAGGCGGCCAACUGGGCUUUAACUGACGCUGAGGCUCGAAAGUGUGGGGAGCAAACAGGAUUAGAUACCCGAGUAGUC
RNAcentral lists this ribosomal RNA (441 nucleotides) under uncultured bacterium. Its description in RNAcentral is "partial 16S ribosomal RNA". It matches the Rfam family "Bacterial small subunit ribosomal RNA", at positions 338 to 795 of the family's 1533-position model. The record is from RNAcentral.